AGCUUCCGAAGAUUAUGGAGUUAGUGGGUCUCAGAUACGCAUCGUCUCAGUGAUUGUCUGUCGUUGAAGGAGAUUCUUCCCGAGUCGAUAUAUUUAGCUAUCUUUAAGUUGGCGUUUGACGAGCAUAAAGUUCAUGAUGGUGGAGAGGUUAGAGGAGGUACUCCCGUAGGGAGCAGUAGUACGAUACGACGUUCUAAUGCAGACGACGUUGAUAACAGGGAUGCCGACAACGACGAUGAUGAGGAGUGAGUGAGACUUGUGUUAAGACAUAUUAUGACUUUUGAAUUUUACCUAUAUGUAAUAUAUUUGUGAUUUUAUUGCAUAGUGAAUGAAUAUU
Asparagus officinalis (garden asparagus) is the source of this 337-nucleotide long non-coding RNA. RefSeq lists it as uncharacterized. The record is from RefSeq and is a predicted model, not a curated record. NCBI's taxonomy places the organism in Eukaryota, Viridiplantae, Streptophyta, Magnoliopsida, Asparagales, Asparagaceae. The transcript is spliced from 3 exons.